This 1040-nucleotide small RNA is filed under the name Pongo abelii (Sumatran orangutan). RNAcentral's name for it is "processed transcript". The record is from RNAcentral. Lineage: Eukaryota; Metazoa; Chordata; Mammalia; Primates; Hominidae.
GCGUAGUCGGUCUCGGGAUAGAGAACGACGUAAGGGCAGAGAUAAAGAGAAAAGAGAAAAGGAGAAGGAUAAAGGGAAGGACAAGGAAUUACAUAACAUCAAACGUGGGGAAUCUGGAAACAUCAAAGCUGGAUUAGAACAUCUGAUGGGAGUCUUGCUCAGUCUCCCAGGCUGGAGAGCAGUGGUACAAUCUUGGCUCACUGCACCCUCCACCUCCCAGGUUCAAGUGAUUCUCCUGUCUCAGCCUCCUGAGUAGCUGGGACUGCAGGCACCGGCCACCAUGCCUGGCUAAUUUUUAUAUUUUUAGUAGAGACCAACAUGAUUUUACCAUGUUGGCCAGGCUAGCCUCGAACUCCUGACCUCAGAUGAUCCGCCCUCCUCGGCCUCCAGAAUGCUAGGAUUAUAGGCAUGAGCAACCGCGCCCAGCGACUCCAUGUUUUUUCUACCAUUAUGUUUUAAAGUUCUGGAUAAUGUAGUGAGUAGUGAUGCUUAUUGGACUACUGAAUGGGGAUUAAAAUGUUUACUUUCAGCUGGGGGUUUAAUGAAGUCAACACGUUUUUAUUUUUCCAAUUAAGAAAAAGAUACAGGAGAUAGAACCUUGCCAUUUGAUGACAAUACAGCUAUUAUUAUUUUAUAAGCAAACUAUAAAAAUGAUGCUAUCCUUUUCUCUUGGGAGAAGGAUUUAGAUCAGAAAAUAUUAAGUUGAGCUGUUUGAAAAAUUGUUACUUUUUUAGGUCAAAAUAGUUUUGUGGGUUGUUUCUGGCUUGAAAGAAGGACAGCUGUGCUAUGCCCCCUUUGGCAAGGAAUGAAAUGAAUUAUCCUGAUCAGUAUGAUGUUUCUAAAGCUUCCUUUGUUCUCUUUUCUGAAAGUCAAAUAAAUAGAAGUGGCUUGUAGUAACUGUACAGGGUGAUCUGGGGCAGUGCUUCACCAUCUUUAAUGUACAUAUGAGUCACCUGGGAUUCUUGCUUAAAGCACAUUCUGAUUCUUUGGGUCUGGGGCACAAUUUGAAAUUAUGCAUUUCAACAAGCUCCUAAGCAAGG